This 144-nucleotide small nucleolar RNA is filed under the name Echinops telfairi (small Madagascar hedgehog). Its description in RNAcentral is "Small nucleolar RNA SNORA48 (ENSETEG00000025818.1)". It matches the Rfam family "Small nucleolar RNA SNORA48". From Rfam's summary of the family: The snoRNA ACA 48 has been identified to guide pseudouridylation of the residue U3797 in the 28S rRNA subunit. Its host gene EIF4A1 (eukaryotic translation initiation factor 4A1) is shared with U67 and snoRNA mgU6-77 The record is from RNAcentral. Lineage: Eukaryota; Metazoa; Chordata; Mammalia; Afrosoricida; Tenrecidae.
GACCCCUGGCUAUGGGCAAAGAGACAGCUGAUUGGUGGUGGUGCUGUUAUAUCAGUCAGGGACAGAGCCAACUCAAAGUCCUUUGUUCAUCCUAUCUUGAUGCCUGGAUUGUGGCCAGAGCUGUUUCAUGCCUAGGGAACAUUU